RNAcentral lists this long non-coding RNA (795 nucleotides) under Canis lupus familiaris (dog). RNAcentral's name for it is "lncRNA (ENSCAFG00030025335.1)". Lineage: Eukaryota; Metazoa; Chordata; Mammalia; Carnivora; Canidae. The record is from RNAcentral.
UUUAAUCAUUAAAAGUAGUUUGAGGCAGGUAUUCUUGAUCUCAUUUACAUAUAAGGAAUAAAGCUAAAAAAAUAAAAAUCUUAUUACUUGUCCAAAGUGGCAGAGUUCACAGAGAGAGGUGGCACUUGCAGCCUAGACAUAUUCCCCCUGGCCACUGUAGAACAGCUUAAGGCAUGGUCCCUAUCUUUAGGAAGUUUAUCAUAUUUUUAAGAAAGCAAGACAAGCACAAAAAUGGAAAUAUACCAUGAGCGCCUCUGCAAAGUGGGUAUGUUUCCGGAGAUAGCUGACUGAUGGACAAGGCGAGACAGGCUGAGACAUUGAUUCCCUCUACACCAUGAAAAUGUCCUUAUCUGUUAGCCAAGAGGCUCAGAAAUAUUCUCAUCAUCCAUCCCCUUUCUAUUCAGUGGCCCUCAUUUAAAUGCAGCCUGAUUUGUUGAUAACCAAUGAGUUGGCACCAGUGUGGAAUAAGGAAAUGUAGCAUUUAGGAAGAGGAAUCUGGUGCCAUGGGCAAGAUAGAUUUAGACAAAGAAUCUGGGGUUUGGGAGAUCAGUAAGGAGGAAGUUGUAAUCAUUAGAGUAUCAGGAGAUGGGUCUGGACUGAAGCGAUAGAUGUGGGAUGGAGAGGAAGACAUUGUAAAAGAACCAUAGAGAGUAAUUCGGACUGCGUUGUUUAUGAGGGAUGAAGAAGAACAAUGACCAGUGACAAGUGUUUGACAGUGGCGUGGUGGAAGGGCAGAGCUAUAGCUGAAGAGGAAGGAGAUAUGCCAACUAUAACGUUCUACUUAGAUGAAAUAAU